RNAcentral lists this ribosomal RNA (253 nucleotides) under uncultured bacterium. RNAcentral describes it as "partial 16S ribosomal RNA". It matches the Rfam family "Bacterial small subunit ribosomal RNA", at positions 524 to 776 of the family's 1533-position model. The record is from RNAcentral.
UACAGAGGUGCCGAGCGUUAGGCGGAAUCACUGGGCUUAAAGCGUGUGUAGGCGGAUGCCUAAGUACCUUGUGAAAUCCCCCGGCUUAACCGGGGAACUGCUUGGUAUACUGGGUGUCUUGAGCCACUUAGGGGCGACCGGAACAAACGGUGGAGCGGUGAAAUGCGUAGAUAUCGUUUGGAACGCCAAUGGUGAAAACAGGUCGCUGGGAGUGUGCUGACGCUGAGACACGAAAGCUAGGGGAGCAAACAGG